ACAAACUUGGUCAUUUAGAGGAAGUAAAAGUCGUAACAAGGUUUCCGUAGGUGAACCUGCGGAAGGAUCAUUCACAAUAAGUGUUUUAUGGCACUUUAAUCCCAUAUCCACCUUGUGUGCAACGUCGGCCGUUGUGUCUUCUUCGUCAGAAGAGGACCACGACCACAAUCAACCUAAUUUUGUCAACGAUAUCGUCUGAAAUAAUGUAUGAAUAAACAAAUUCAAAUACAACUUUCAACAACGGAUCUCUUGGCUCUCGCAUCGAUGAAGAACGCAGC
RNAcentral lists this unclassified non-coding RNA (278 nucleotides) under uncultured fungus. RNAcentral's name for it is "partial contains small subunit ribosomal RNA, internal transcribed spacer 1, and 5.8S ribosomal RNA". The stretch from base 1 to 73 matches the Rfam family "Eukaryotic small subunit ribosomal RNA", at positions 1759 to 1831 of the family's 1831-position model. The record is from RNAcentral. Lineage: Eukaryota; Fungi.